This 73-nucleotide transfer RNA is filed under the name Candidatus Wolfebacteria bacterium. RNAcentral's name for it is "tRNA-Val". It matches the Rfam family "tRNA". Rfam says of the family: Transfer RNA (tRNA) molecules are approximately 80 nucleotides in length. Their secondary structure includes four short double-helical elements and three loops (D, anti-codon, and T loops). Lineage: Bacteria; Candidatus Wolfeibacteriota. The record is from RNAcentral.
GGGCGAUUAGCUCACUUGGUAGAGCGCUUCAUUGACGUUGAAGAGGUAACAAGUUCGAAUCUUGUAUUGCCCA